AAGGUCGUGAUCAACUCGGACAGUCUGGAUGUAGUAGAAGCUCUGAGAGAUGGCAAUUCUUCUUCAGUGGCAAGAGCAAUUAUUGAUGAUUGCUAUUUCAUGUCCUCGGAUUUUAAUCUUGUAUCUUAUGGUCAUUGUAAUAGAGAGUGUAAUAAAGUAGCACAUGAACUUUCUAGGCUAGUUAAAUUUUCUCCUCCUUCUGUAUGGAUGAAUUUGGCACCUGCAGAGGUCCUUCCAUUACUUGUAAACGAUGCCACAAUUUUGCUAGAGGAAUAA
Molecule: ribosomal RNA, 276 nt
Filed under: Triticum aestivum (bread wheat)
Lineage: Eukaryota; Viridiplantae; Streptophyta; Magnoliopsida; Poales; Poaceae
Description: partial small subunit ribosomal RNA
Source: RNAcentral